Heterocephalus glaber (naked mole-rat) is the source of this 295-nucleotide non-coding RNA. The record is from Rfam. NCBI's taxonomy places the organism in Eukaryota, Metazoa, Chordata, Mammalia, Rodentia, Bathyergidae.
UGCUUGCCCCUGAGGCAUGGCUCCGGGGCAGGUGUCUGUCCAGGGAGAAGCCCCAGUCUGGUGUGACACCUGGGAGAGCUGUGGGUGACACAGGCUCUUGCUCUUCCAGUUAGAGAGCAGCCCCCAGGGUCUGCUGGGACUGAGGGUCUCUUCCUUUCUGCCUGCCCAGCUCUGCAUCUGUGAAGGAGAAGGAAUAGGGGUUGGACUAGAUGCGAUUUCGUGCAUACUUUCUAGGUCCUGUAUUCUUAAUUUUACCUAGAGACAGAUGUCCUCACCCAGGAAAUUGUAUUUUGUG